AUGCCUCGGUGUCGACAAACCCUAAAUAAUGAGACCAUGAUCUUGUUCCUUGACAAUAACCAACUUUUUGACCAAACUUUUUCCUAUUUAGAGCGAAACAUGGCCCACAACAAUGAGGCCGGCGGUUCGGGCGGCAAGCAAUUUUGGGAGCUGUCCCAGGAGAUGGAGGAAGAACCUCACCGCUAUGAGGACGCCGCGGAAGACACCGAUCCUGACUACACAACCCCUAGUGGCGUCGUGGAUGACACCACUGAUGGUGCCGCUGGGGAUGCCACCACUGAUGAUGGUAGUGCAUGCACAUAUGGCAGCCAACCGAAGAGGCAACGGAAGGACCAACGCCCGGACGUGCUCGGCACCGUCAAGGAGGAAUUUACUGAAGUGAACUCCGACGGGCAUCCAACGGCGCCCAAAGAAUUAGUCAAGGGGUACUCAGUUCAGCUCGGGUGCAUUCUCCGGAGCACCAUCUCGAUCAACACCGAGAACCUAAGGCAUAAGGACCGAGGGAAUUUGCGCAACCUCCUCUUCACGAAGCUGCACGAACGAUACAAGUUCCUCGGUGACUUUGCAAACACACGCCUCUCAGGGAAUAAAGUGAACAGUGCCGCCCUCACGAGGAUGAGCACGACCCUGUCUACUUGGAGAAGCGCGGUGAAGAGAAUGAUUGACAAAGGUGAUAGUUAUGAGAAGAUCAAGGCGAAAAAUCCUUCGAUCAGCGAAGAUGACUACAAGGAGUUCAAGAUCAAGUGCGGGAGCAGCGCAACCGUGGAAUCAAGUCAGUGGGGGAAAGAAAUGCGGGAGUUGAACUUAGGGGUCCACCAACUCGGUCCCGACGGUUACAGAGUGGCGGAGCCUAUAUGGGACAAGGAGGACGCUGAUACGUCUCCAACGUAUCUAUAUUUUUUGAUUGUUCCAUGCUAUUAUAUUACCCCUUUUGGAUGUUUAUGGGCUUUAUUUUACACAUUUAUAUCAUUUUUGGGACUAACCUACUAA
Molecule: ribosomal RNA, 990 nt
Filed under: Triticum aestivum (bread wheat)
Lineage: Eukaryota; Viridiplantae; Streptophyta; Magnoliopsida; Poales; Poaceae
Description: partial small subunit ribosomal RNA
Source: RNAcentral